Molecule: ribosomal RNA, 399 nt
Filed under: uncultured bacterium
Lineage: Bacteria
Description: bacterial SSU rRNA
Rfam family: Bacterial small subunit ribosomal RNA
Source: RNAcentral
GACGAACGCUGGCGGCGUGCUUAACACAUGCAAGUCGAGCGGUAAGGCCCUUUCGGGGUACGACGAGCGGCGAACGGGUGAGUAACACGUGGGUGACCUCGCCCUCCAGCUCUGGGAUAAGCCUGGGAAACCGGGUCUAAUACCGGAUAUGACUCCAUGACGCAUGUUGUGGGGUGGAAAGCCUUGUGCGGCUGAGGAUGGGCCCGCGGCCUAUCAGCUUGUUGGUGGGGUGAUGGCCUACCAAGGCGACGACGGGUAGCCGGCCUGAGAGGGCGACCGGCCACACUGGGACUGAGACACGGCCCAGACUCCUACGGGAGGCAGCAGUGGGGAAUCUUGCGCAAUGGGCGAAAGCCUGACGCAGCGACGCCGCGUGAGGGAUGACGGCCUGGUGUAACU